RNAcentral lists this ribosomal RNA (1374 nucleotides) under metagenome. RNAcentral's name for it is "bacterial LSU rRNA". It matches the Rfam family "Bacterial large subunit ribosomal RNA", at positions 1529 to 2925 of the family's 2925-position model. The record is from RNAcentral.
GGAGUAGGCAAAUCCGCUCUUAUUCGCGAGCCCGAUCGGAAAUGAUGUCUUCGGAUUGAUUGAUUCUCAUAGUUCUGGUGCCUAGAAAAACCGCUAAACUUAUGUAUAUAUAACUCGUACUCAGAUCAGACACAUGUAGGAUAGUAGAGAAUACUAAGGCAAUCGAGAUAACUAAUGAUUAAGGAACUUGGCAAAUUAGCGGGCGUAAGUUAGCAAUAAGCCCUGCCUAUAGCAAUAUAGGCCGCAGCGAAUGACGUGGGGGGGACUGUUUAUCAAAAACACAGCUUCCUGCUAACUCGAAAGAGGAUGUAUAGGAAGUGAUGCCUGUCCAAUGCCAGAAUGUUAUGCUCUCUUGUUCACGCUCGAGAGUUAAGCACUGGUGAAUGACGGCCGUAACUAUGACGGUCCUAAGGUAGCGAAGUACCUUGUCGGGUAAGUUCCGACGCGCAUGAAUGGCACAACCAUCCCCACACUGUCUUAAUCUUAGACUCGGUGAAAUUACAUUCCCGGUAAAAAUGCCGGGUAGUUGCAGUUAGACGGAAAGACCCUGUGAAGCUUUACUGUAAAUUGAUAUUGGACUGUAGUAUAAAUUGCUCAGCAUAAGUGGGAGACUUUGAUAUCUGGUUUUUGGACCAGGUUGAGUCACAAGUGAGAUACCACUCAAUAUAUAUAGCAUUUCUAAUCCCGUUUAAAGCGGGAAACAGCGCCAGUUGGUCAGUUUACCUGGGGCGGGUGCCUCCUAAAAAGUAACGGAGGCGUACAAAGGUUCGCUUACCACGGAUGGAAACCGUGGUGGACGUAUAUUCGCACAAGCGAGCUUAACUGUAAGACUAACAGGUCGAACAGAUACGAAAGUAGGUUAAAGUGAUCCGGAUCUUCCAUGUGGAAGGGGAUCCGCUCAACGGAUAAAAGUUACUCCGGGGAUAACAGGCUAAUGGAGCCUAAGCGUUCACAGCGACGGCUCCGUUUGGCACCUCGAUGUCGACUCGUCGCAUCCUGGGGCUGUAGAAGGUCCCAAGGGUUGGGCUGUUCGCCCAUUAAAGCGGGACGCGAGUUGGGUUCAGAACGUCGUGAGACAGUUCGGUCCCUAUCUACUGUAACCGUAAGCAAUUUGAGAAACGCUGUCCCUAGUACGAGAGGACCGGGAUGGACUAGCCUCUAGUUAACCAGUUGUCACAUCAGUGGCACAGCUGGAUAGCCACGCUGGGAAAAGAUAACCACUGAAAGCAUCUAAGUGGGAAACUUGUUUCAAGAUUAGAUUGCUCUCUCUUCGGAGGUAAGAUCCCCAGUAGACUACUGGGUUGAUAGGUGUUAUGUGUACGUCCGGUAACGGAUUUAGCAGAGACAUACUAAUAGAUCGAGCGAGAUUUAUUG